This 497-nucleotide ribosomal RNA is filed under the name Bacillus cereus. RNAcentral describes it as "bacterial SSU rRNA". It matches the Rfam family "Bacterial small subunit ribosomal RNA", at positions 28 to 506 of the family's 1533-position model. Lineage: Bacteria; Bacillati; Bacillota; Bacilli; Caryophanales; Bacillaceae. The record is from RNAcentral.
GAUGAACGCUGGCGGCGUGCCUAAAACAUGCAAGUCGAGCGAAUGGAUUAAGAGCUUGCUCUUAUGAAGUUAGCGGCGGACGGGUGAGUAACACGUGGGUAACCUGCCCAUAAGACUGGGAUAACUCCGGGAAACCGGGGCUAAUACCGGAUAACAUUUUGAACCGCAUGGUUCGAAAUUGAAAGGCGGCUUCGGCUGUCACUUAUGGAUGGACCCGCGUCGCAUUAGCUAGUUGGUGAGGUAACGGCUCACCAAGGCAACGAUGCGUAGCCGACCUGAGAGGGUGAUCGGCCACACUGGGACUGAGACACGGCCCAGACUCUACGGGAGGCAGCAGUAGGGAAUCUUCCGCAAUGGACGAAAGUCUGACGGAGCAACGCCGCGUGAGUGAUGAAGGCUUUCGGGUCGUAAAACUCUGUUGUUAGGGAAGAACAAGUGCUAGUUGAAUAAGCUGGCACCUUGACGGUACCUAACCAGAAAGCCACGGCUAACUACGU